RNAcentral lists this ribosomal RNA (468 nucleotides) under uncultured bacterium. RNAcentral's name for it is "partial 16S ribosomal RNA". It matches the Rfam family "Bacterial small subunit ribosomal RNA", at positions 28 to 507 of the family's 1533-position model. The record is from RNAcentral.
GACGAACGCUGGCGGCGUGCUUAACACAUGCAAGUCGAACGGAAAGGCCCUGCUUUUGUGGGGUGCUCGAGUGGCGAACGGGUGAGUAACACGUGAGUAACCUGCCCUUGACUUUGGGAUAACUUCAGGAAACUGGGGCUAAUACCGGAUAGGAGCUCCUGCUGCAUGGUGGGGGUUGGAAAGUUUCGGCGGUUGGGGAUGGACUCGCGGCUUAUCAGCUUGUUGGUGGGGUAGUGGCUUACCAAGGCUUUGACGGGUAGCCGGCCUGGGAGGGUGACCGGCCACAUUGGGACUGAGAUACGGCCCAGACUCCUACGGGAGGUAGCAGUGGGGAAUAUUGCACAAUGGGCGGAAGCCUGAUGCAGCAACGCCGCGUGCGGGAUGACGGCCUUCGGGUUGUAAACCGCUUUCGCCUGUGACGAAGCGUGAGUGACGGUAAUGGGUAAAGAAGCACCGGCUAACUACGUG